RNAcentral lists this non-coding RNA (24 nucleotides) under Drosophila melanogaster (fruit fly). The record is from RNAcentral. Lineage: Eukaryota; Metazoa; Arthropoda; Insecta; Diptera; Drosophilidae.
ACCCUUGAUAAACGGUUGACUUUC